CGACAUUUGCCAAAGAUAUACGAUGAGAAUCACAAAGAUCAUGAACUAGCCACAUCGUCUCCAGUUUCAACUACCAGCAUUCAGCUGUCAACUUUACACCGGCUUAUGCUACAAGCAAAUAUGAAGACUCUCAAGCUACCUCCUCAGGUCGACUUAAGACUCGGGGGCUACACAAUCAUGGCUUGAUAGAUUUAGUCAUUGUCAACAAAUUCAAGAACAUCGGAUCAUUGCAAGGAAGAUAACCCGGUUCCGAGGGCUAAUGCCUUAUCGGCGAAAAAAUAAAGAUUGCCAUAGAGGACCAUCUGCCAUGAUGUGCUAUUCAGACAUAAGUAUCUUCCUUUAUUGGAUCAUCAUAUUAUCAUAUAUUAUGAUCAAUGGAAUAAAGUCGGCUUAUCUGAACCCCUGAUGUUUUGCAGUAGUAGCAUUGUCUCAUGUAUAUCCUAUGCUGAGCUUUUCCAUGAUCAUAGGUAACUUGGGGCUUCCAACUCAUCGAGUUUAGCUUUCUCACCCUGUUGAUCGAGCAAAGACGCCAUAAAAUGGUUAAACCUGCCUGUAUGCUUGAGGCGACUCUCAUUAGGUGACCCCGUGUACUCUUGGCAAAACAAUCCACUUUGGACCCUGAUUGAUUAAGGGUCAAACAUUAGCUUGAGUCGCGUGAGAUCCGGCAUACAAAGACCUAAGAUAAACCAUGGGUUAUCAUACCCUGUUCAUUGAAGCAAGACUUGAGCCUCGAAAUCCAGUCUCACUUAGCUGGCUUGUUAACAGUACUUUAUUAUUAUUACUACAUGUUAUUACCUCAUAACCUUUAAGUACAAAUACUAUUUUUAUUGUCGGCUCAUAAUGUGUAUCCGGGUCAUGAAACUGCAGUCAUAUUAUGACCAGUUCAAUCAUACAUCUUCUACAACAAUGUAGAAUGAUUCACACCUGCUUCAUUGAAGCAAGAGUCGAGACUCGAAAGACGGUCUUUAUGUCAUGCCUUGAAAACUGACAUUUUAUACUAUGUUAUCAUACACAUGAAUCAUCCUCCAUUGCAUCAUGCAUCAUACAUA
Molecule: long non-coding RNA, 1049 nt
Filed under: Hordeum vulgare
Lineage: Eukaryota; Viridiplantae; Streptophyta; Magnoliopsida; Poales; Poaceae
Description: long non-coding RNA (HVUL_LNC003938)
Source: RNAcentral